AACGAACGCUGGCGGCAUGCCUAACACAUGCAAGUCGAACGAUACCUUCGGGUCUUUUGGCGCACGGUUUCGUAACGCGUGGGAACCUUCCCUUAUGUUCGGAAUAACUCCCCUACUGGGUUGCUAAUACCGGAUAAUGUCUUCUCACCAAUGAUUUAUCGCCUUUGGUUGUUCCGGCGUUGGAUUAGCUAGUUUGUAGGGUAAAAGCAUACCAAGGCGACGAUCCAUAGCUGGUAUGAGAGGAUGAUAAGCCACACUGGGACUGAGAAACGGCCGAGACUAGUACGGGAGGGAGAAGUGGGGAAUAUUGGAAAAUGGGGGAAAGGAUGAUAAAGCAAUGACGGGAGAGUGAUGAAGGAAUUAGGGUUGUAAAGCUAAAUUAAAAGGGAAGAUAAUGACAGUACCGGGAGAAUAAGCACCGGCUAACUACGUG
This 433-nucleotide ribosomal RNA is filed under the name uncultured bacterium. RNAcentral describes it as "partial 16S ribosomal RNA". It matches the Rfam family "Bacterial small subunit ribosomal RNA", at positions 29 to 507 of the family's 1533-position model. The record is from RNAcentral.